RNAcentral lists this unclassified non-coding RNA (1196 nucleotides) under Hevea brasiliensis (rubber tree). Lineage: Eukaryota; Viridiplantae; Streptophyta; Magnoliopsida; Malpighiales; Euphorbiaceae. The record is from RNAcentral.
AUACUUGGCCAGCUCCAGAACCCUAUCAUAUGAGUAGGCAGCAAUUAGAUUGGUGAACGGAAAAAUAAAAUUCUACAAUCUCUAUAAACAACAGAACCAAAUCUAGAAAUAUUUUAACAGUUUAUCUACUAUUACAUGUACAUAUGAUUUCAAGACUUUAUUCACUUCCUAAAAGACACCAAUUACAAGUAGGCAUCCUAUCACUGUAAGUUUUUAAUAUUAAAUUAACAUAACAAAAUAAAAGUCACUGCAAAUACCAUGUAGUUAUGAUCCAUCAUAUACUUUAUGCUUUCAUCGGAUUCCAUUAGCAAGAUACAAAUUGCACACACUAAGAAUCUACCUUAUUCCUCCUCAAGUAAUAAAUUUCAUCAAACCUUAAUAUAUCAAAAAGAGCAGAGUAAAAAAAAAUGGCAAUAGCUGGUGGAGGGUUACAUUGUCUUUAACUGGAUAACGCACUGACUGAUACUCCCAAAAUAAACAAGUUAGGAAGAGAAAGGUUUCAACAUCUAACAUGGAACUUUAUGAACUAUUAAGAGUUUUAUUCUUUUGAACACAAGGUCUUCACCUUGGUAAGCUCCCAAAAAACCCAUAUUCCACCAUGAUAUACAACACGAGCAAGACAAACUCACCUUCCUAAAUCCUUUUAAUACCUGAGAGUCAAUUGUUAUUUCCCAUGCCAAAACAAUUUGUCAGCCCAAAUCAUGAAACUUUUAACAUCAUAUGGCUUGCCUCCAUCUUUGAUAGCAUAAACAAGAUCAUCUGAUUCAAAUGCUAAAAUUCAAAUCAGACACCUACGAAGGUGCUCAUACAAGUUUGUCCCACAUCACAUUCAUCAUCAGUUUUCAGAGGAUGGAAAUAUUCCCCCUAAUGAAUCAGCCCAGUUCACUGUAUCUGAAUGCUCUAUUUUUCUCAUUCUUCUUCUAACCAAAUUUUAUAGUCCCUUCAAUAAAAAUUUCUUUCUUAUUUUUUAUGAAUAAAUAUAAUUCAAUUUAAAAAUAAGCAAUUAUAAUGUAGAUGUGUCAAUGAAAUGGAAUAUAAUAUAAUCAACCAAAUUAAAAGCCUGGUACUGAAGCACAUCCUCAUUUACGACUAUUCUGGCCAACAGCAGCCUUUUUCCCCAAUUGGAUUGAGUGAAAUCUCAAAAUUGGAGUAUCUUAAAGAUUGAAUAAACAUCAUCCCUUGUUUGGAAACUAGCA